AAACUCUAAGGAGAGGGUAUCAAGC
Molecule: non-coding RNA, 25 nt
Filed under: Cricetulus griseus (Chinese hamster)
Lineage: Eukaryota; Metazoa; Chordata; Mammalia; Rodentia; Cricetidae
Source: RNAcentral